AUAUUAAUAAGCGGAGGAAAAGAAACUAACAAGGAUUCCCCUAGUAACGGCGAGUGAAGCGGGAAGAGCUCAUCUUUAAAAUCUUAGUGGCUUGCCACUACGAAUUGUAGUAUGAAGAAGUGUUUUCGGUGACGGCGCUGGCUCAAGUCUCCUGGAAUGGAGCGUCAGAGAGGGUGACAAUCCCGUCUGUGGCUAGUGCGUCUGGAACCAUAUGAUACGCUUUCGUAGAGUCGGGUUGUUUGGGAAUGCAGCCCAAAAUGGGUGGUAAAUUCCAUCUAAAGCUAAAUAUUGGCGAGAGACCGAUAGCGCACAAGUA
RNAcentral lists this ribosomal RNA (316 nucleotides) under uncultured eukaryote. RNAcentral describes it as "partial large subunit ribosomal RNA". It matches the Rfam family "Eukaryotic large subunit ribosomal RNA", at positions 40 to 350 of the family's 3401-position model. The record is from RNAcentral.